Molecule: ribosomal RNA, 403 nt
Filed under: Fusobacteriota bacterium
Lineage: Bacteria; Fusobacteriati; Fusobacteriota
Description: Fusobacteria bacterium partial 16S ribosomal RNA
Rfam family: Bacterial small subunit ribosomal RNA
Source: RNAcentral
UGGGGAAUAUUGCACAAUGGGGGAAACCCUGAUGCAGCGACGCCGCGUGAGCGAAGAAGGUUUUCGAAUCGUAAAGCUCUGUCCUAUGGGAAGAUAAUGACGGUACCAUAGGAGGAAGCCCCGGCUAACUACGUGCCAGCAGCCGCGGUAAUACGUAGGGGGCAAGCGUUGUCCGGAAUCACUGGGCGUAAAGGGUUCGCAGGCGGAAAUGCAAGUCAGUUGUGAAAGGCAGAGGCUCAACCUCUGUAAGCAAUUGAAACUGUAUUUCUUGGGAUGUGGAGGAGGAAGAGGAAUUCCUAGUGUAGCGGUGGAAUGCGUAAAUAUUAAGAAGAAUACCGGGGGCGGAGGCGACUUGCUGGACACAAACUGACGCUGAGGAACGAAAGCGUGGGUAGCAAACAGG